This 168-nucleotide ribosomal RNA is filed under the name Rogadius pristiger. RNAcentral's name for it is "partial 12S rRNA". The record is from RNAcentral. Lineage: Eukaryota; Metazoa; Chordata; Actinopteri; Perciformes; Platycephalidae.
CACCGCGGUUAUACGAGGAACCCAAGUUGACAACCACCGGCGUAAAGCGUGGUUAGGUAAGUAAUAAACUAAAGUCGAAUGCUCACCUCGCCGUUAUAAGCGUACGAGAGUAAGAAGCCCAUAUACGAAAGUGACUUUACUAAUACUGAUCCCACGAAAGCUAAGAAA